GGGGCUGUAACGGUUUCGACGUUCUGGCGAACACUACUUUGUGAUUCAGGUCGAGAGUGAGUCUCCUCUCGAAAAUCAAAGGCUCAAAACAAGUACAUGCGAACAACAUCGUACCUUUUGCUCGUAAGGCAGUAGCUAUUGCCUAAACACCUCUUAUAGGUUCGAGCGUCUAUGGUUUGACUCCGUUAAGGAUCAUAGACCAAACCCCAACGGAUGCUCUAGCCGAUUGUCUCUGGUCGAUCGCUAGCUAAGACUUCACCAGAGCAUCCCACCGUCUGGGAUAAUGGACGGUUCCCGCUUCGAGGAUCAGAGAAGCUAAACCUGUGAAUGAGCGGAGUACUAAUAACUAGGGCGGACACGGGUUCGACUCCCGUCAGCUCCAUUA
This 385-nucleotide transfer-messenger RNA is filed under the name Elainella sp. Prado103. It matches the Rfam family "transfer-messenger RNA". From Rfam's summary of the family: Bacterial tmRNA, also known as 10Sa RNA or SsrA, is named for its dual tRNA and mRNA-like properties. Its role is to liberate the mRNA from a stalled ribosome. To accomplish this part of the tmRNA is used as a reading frame that ends in a translation stop signal. Lineage: Bacteria; Bacillati; Cyanobacteriota; Cyanophyceae; Oculatellales; Oculatellaceae. The record is from RNAcentral.